UGAGCAGAUCUAGCUGCAGGCAUCCCUGUUCAUUGCAGGGGAGUUGGACUAGAUGGCCUUCAAUGAUCCCUUCCAAUUCAAAUGAUUCUAUGAUUUUGGGUUGAUAACCCUGCCCGUGGCAGAGGGAUUGAAACUAGAUGAUCAUUAUGGUCCUUUUCAACCCAAGUCAUUCUAUGAUUCUAUGAAUCUCUGGUUGAUUCUAUGAUUCGAUGAUCUAAACUAAUGGUCAGUAAUAAACUGCAUGUAUCAGUGUUGGCUGUGACAUCCUAUUGAACGUGAUUAACAAGUUGGAUGUAUAUGUAGAGCUUGAUGUUUACAUGUGAAAAUGUUUAUUCCUGCCUUUAUGUAACAACCUUGAGGAAGCCCUUAUGAUGAGUCAACACUUUAUUAAGACUAAGCCUAGCAUGGCAUUUUCUGGUAACAAUGGCCAGCUGAGAACCUUACCAUGCUUUACCUUUAAUUGUAACAGGUAAUGAUUUUGUGUAGAGUAGGUAGAAAUAUUUCUGGUUGAUUUAAGGAACAGUAAGUCAAGGAGAGUUCUAAAUUGUAGUAAUGCAUAAAGGUAGGUUGCCAAAGAAAACAUGACUCCCUAAAUCUCCAUCUCUUUCCAAGAUUCCAAAUGGAGGACAUGAUGUUGGAUGAAAGUGUCCUCAACAGAAGGGCUGCUAGUGGCUGGCAUCUUUUCAGUUGGACCAUGCUGACAGAGCAGCCACGUGAAGUAUUUCCACUGGUCAGCAAUGGCAGCCAUCAGUGAGCACCGCACAAUUCAUAUGUUAAACAAAGUGCUACUCAUGGAAGGACAAAACAGUAACCUCCAGCUUCACAAAAUCUAUGCCUGCUUUUUCCAGCUGCGCUGAAAACCUUUUUCCCAUUUAAGCUGGCACUUAAACUGAUGUUCAUCACCAGCUGAGAAGGAUUCAUUUGGAGGUAACACAUCUUUCUAAAAGAUUUGCUAGGUUAAUUUUCAGAAGUACUGUGCUUUUCUGGUUUCUGCUGAUGAUAAUGUAGGCUGCAUUUGUUCUUACACCUAGAGAAUCUAAAUGUCCUGAAUAAAAGCACCUGUGCUGAAUGACA
RNAcentral lists this long non-coding RNA (1074 nucleotides) under Phasianus colchicus (ring-necked pheasant). RNAcentral's name for it is "lncRNA (ENSPCLG00000000134.1)". The record is from RNAcentral. Lineage: Eukaryota; Metazoa; Chordata; Aves; Galliformes; Phasianidae.